GAGAAAAGCCUCUAGAUAGAAAAUAGGUGCCCGUACCGCAAACCGACACAGGUAGUCAAGAUGAGAAUUCUAAGGUGAGCGAGCGAACUCUCGUUAAGGAACUCGGCAAAAUGACCCCGUAACUUCGGGAGAAGGGGUGCUCUUUAGGGUUAACGCCCAGAAGAGCCGCAGUGAAUAGGCCCAAGCGACUGUUUAUCAAAAACACAGGUCUCUGCUAAACCGUAAGGUGAUGUAUAGGGGCUGACGCCUGCCCGGUGCUGGAAGGUUAAGAGGAGUGGUUAGCUUCUGCGAAGCUACGAAUCGAAGCCCCAGUAAACGGCGGCCGUAACUAUAACGGUCCUAAGGUAGCGAAAUUCCUUGUCGGGUAAGUUCCGACCCGCACGAAAGGCGUAACGAUUUGGGCACUGUCUCAACGAGAGACUCGGUGAAAUCAUAGUACCUGUGAAGAUGCAGGUUACCCGCGACAGGACGGAAAGACCCCGUGGAGCUUUACUGUAGCCUGAUAUUGAAAUUCGGCACAGCUUGUACAGGAUAGGUAGGAGCCUUUGAAACGUGAGCGCUAGCUUACGUGGAGGCGCUGGUGGGAUACUACCCUAGCUGUGUUGGCUUUCUAACCCGCACCACUUAUCGUGGUGGGAGACAGUGUCAGGCGGGCAGUUUGACUGGGGCGGUCGCCUCCUAAAAGGUAACGGAGGCGCUCAAAGGUUCCCUCAGAAUGGUUGGAAAUCAUUCAUAGAGUGUAAAGGCAUAAGGGAGCUUGACUGCGAGACCUACAAGUCGAG
RNAcentral lists this ribosomal RNA (782 nucleotides) under Staphylococcus aureus. RNAcentral describes it as "partial 23S ribosomal RNA". It matches the Rfam family "Bacterial large subunit ribosomal RNA", at positions 1610 to 2393 of the family's 2925-position model. The record is from RNAcentral. Lineage: Bacteria; Bacillati; Bacillota; Bacilli; Caryophanales; Staphylococcaceae.